Molecule: ribosomal RNA, 253 nt
Filed under: uncultured bacterium
Lineage: Bacteria
Description: partial 16S ribosomal RNA
Rfam family: Bacterial small subunit ribosomal RNA
Source: RNAcentral
UACAGAGGUGGCAAGCGUUGUUCGGAAUUACUGGGCGUAAAGGGCGCGUAGGCGGUUCGAUAAGUCCCGUGUGAAAUCCCUCGGCUCAACUGAGGAAUGGCACGGGAAACUGACGGGCUUGAGUUCGGGAGAGGGAAGCGGAAUUCCGGGUGUAGCGGUGAAAUGCGUAGAUAUCUGGAGGAACACCGGUGGCGAAAGCGGCUCACUGGAUCGAAACUGACGCUGAGGUGCGAAAGCUAGGGUAGCAAACGGG